This 492-nucleotide ribosomal RNA is filed under the name uncultured bacterium. RNAcentral's name for it is "partial 16S ribosomal RNA". It matches the Rfam family "Bacterial small subunit ribosomal RNA", at positions 29 to 507 of the family's 1533-position model. The record is from RNAcentral.
AGUGGACGCUGGCGGUAGGCCUAACACAUGCAAGUCGAACGGCAGCACAGUAAGAGCUUUCUCUUACGGGUGGCGAGUGGCGGACGGGUGAGGAAUACAUCGGAAUCUACUUUUUCGUGGGGGAUAACGUAGGGAAACUUACGCUAAUACCGCAUACGACCUACGGGUGAAAGCAGGGGAUCUUCGGACCUUGCGCGAUUGAAUGAGCCGAUGUCGGAUUAGCUAGUUGGCGGGGUACAGGCCCACCAAGGCGACGCUCCGUAGCUGGUGUGAGAGGAUGAAGAGCCACACUGGAACUGAGACACGGUCCAGGGUCCUACGUGAGGCCGCAGUGGGGAAUAUUGGCAAAUGGGGGCAAGCCUGAUCCAGCCGUACCGCGUGGGUGAAGAAGGCCUGCGGGUUGGAAAGCCCUUUUGUUGGGAAAGAAAAGCAGCAGGUUAAUACCCCGCUGUUCUGACGGUACCCAAAGAAUAAGCACCGGCUAACUUCGUG